CACGCCGUAAACGAUGAAUGUUAGCCGUCGGGCAGCUUGCUGUUCGGUGGCGCAGCUAACGCAUUAAACAUUCCGCCUGGGGAGUACGGUCGCAAGAUUAAAACUCAAAGGAAUUGACGG
RNAcentral lists this ribosomal RNA (120 nucleotides) under uncultured bacterium. Its description in RNAcentral is "partial 16S ribosomal RNA". It matches the Rfam family "Bacterial small subunit ribosomal RNA", at positions 796 to 916 of the family's 1533-position model. The record is from RNAcentral.